Molecule: long non-coding RNA, 1160 nt
Organism: Octopus sinensis (East Asian common octopus)
Lineage: Eukaryota; Metazoa; Mollusca; Cephalopoda; Octopoda; Octopodidae
Exons: 3
Source: RefSeq, a predicted model, not a curated record
AAGGGGAGAAGGUAUGGUGUUACAGGUCCGACAUCUGCUUCUGGGGGUCUCAGAAUUACUUCAUAAUGUUGGUAGAUGUUCACAAAAGGUCAAGGAUAUGCAACCAAUAGGGGAAGGUUUCAGAGUUAAGAAAAUGCCAUGACAACAGAGACUAUAAAAAUCAUCCUAGAUCAAUCUUAGACUAACAGAUGGCAUCAGUAUAGAAUAAAUUUCCUGCACACUUUGUUGUAUCAAGAGUGUGCUGAUGAAGAUGGUGCCACCAAGAAGCAUAUUGUUUAUUUCUUAUCUAUCUAUGGGUUUGACCCAUCCCUUACACUGCAAUGUGAAAAGGUGCUCAGGAAUAAAAAGGCAAAAAAAAAAAUACAGAUAAAAACAAUAUUCAUUUGCUCAGAUAAAAAAUGUUUAAAUUAAGACACAAAAUGACAAUAUAUUUUUGUAUGUAGAUUUUUAACGGCUGAAACAAAAACUUUUAUUAUUUGAAUCCUUUGAAGAAAUAUUAUUGAAAGAAAAGAGUUGAUUUGAUAUGACUGUGCUAUAAGCAUUAGUUUCUAAUAGUUUGGAAUUUUGUUGAGCAACAGACAAAAUACAUCACUGUUCUUUACAUUCUGUGUUCUAAUCCUACCCAAGGCUGAACUUUGUGCUUCGUCUUUCCACUGCUGAUAAACUAUAGUACCAGUCAAAUACUAGGGAGAAUGAUCUAUAUCGGUGGUUCUGAACCAGGGGUCUAUAUGGUCCCUAAGGGCCCAUAUAAAAUUUUGUGGAGUCCAUGCAAGAAAUAGUAAAUUUGGCAUCUACAAUAGUAUUUUAAGGAACCCUGAAAAAAGUUUGCUCAUGUUGUAUGAAUUGGUAUGUAUUGCAAGAAACAGCUAAGUUUCUUUCUUUAACUUUUUACAUAGUUCAUCCUAGAGAAGUUAAUGUGUGAGAAACAAAAUAAGAAUUUUGAAAGAAGUUUCUAAAAAACUAAUUCUUCAGCAUUGAAUAGCUAUGGGGUCUACCAGAGUAAAAUAGUUAUCAAAGGGGUCCACAGAUAAAAAAAAAAUGGUGGAGAGUCCCUGAUCUAUAUAGUCAACUGAAUCUCUCUUUUCAAAAUUUCUGGUCUUGUGUCUUUAACCGUUAUAAUGUUGGAAUCUUGAAAAUAAAAAAAAAACAAUAACAACCAA